GUGAUCAAUGGGUUAGAACCUGGAGAAAAAUAGUUUACUGCAAGAGUCAUUUCUGAGUCGUUUUGGCAUUAUGAGGAAACACCUGGUUUAGUUAGAAAAAUGAGUUUACAACAGAACGGAAAAUGUUGCACUCACUCAAUCAAUGAAUGAAUGCGCAUACCUCGUUACCCCUGACCAAACACCCACACACAGCCUCUGAUUGUUCAAUGGUUUAGCGACUAGUACAGCCAAAAAGUUCCUAAUAAAAAGUACAGUUGCUAGGAUGUGUACACCAAAUAAAAAAAUCUUCAAAACAAAAAUUGGGUUAAGUGACCUUGCGACGUACCUCCCUACCUAUAUCACAUUCUCAAAAACUUGACUGUACUUUGUCACAUGGCUUUAGCCAUCAUUCAUUUUACUGUUCAUUUUACUGUAGUCAGCUCACGUCUUUAGUUAAAUGUUGUCUACAGUGGGGUGACAAAAUGUAUCUUAUACCAACGUUUUGAAAGGACAUAUUCAUCGACAAUACUAUUAAACUAGCAAUACAAAUUCAGUCAUUCCCAUUAUUAAUUGACUAGCAUUGCUAGCUAAACCCAGAGACAUGGAGGCUAAACCUUUCCGUUACAACCUUUAUCGUGCCAAGUGACAGCAUAGCUUGCUGCUAGCUAACAUUGCCUGUCAAGUCCUAACCAAUGUGAAUUUCAGUUUUAGAAGACAGCUCACUAACAAAAACACUCUUCUCGGCUAAACAAUGGCAUUUUCACAUAUUUACAAACAGUACUGGUAUUUUAUCCACUUCCUGCUUAGUUUAGUAGCUAGACUUCUUACCCCGACUCACCUCCCGCUGCCUUGUGUGUGGACGUGCUAUGGAUGCGCGUGCGUAAAAUGUUUCAUAUUUCUCACGAUGGCUCGACCAGAGACGGAAAAGGAAGCGAGACAUCCCACUCCCUCAAUUUAUGUGGUUCAUGUACUGUCAAUGAACUAAGCAGACCAGACACAGUUGCGAAUGCAUUGGUACCUAUGGGAAAGCCAGCCUAUUAAGCAGACCGGAACUGACCAUUUCUUUCAAUGGAGACGUACAGUACCAUCAAAAUAUUCUACAAGAGGUCCAAACAGUUGGUGGUUAAGAAGGUCUACGGGCCCUGCACUCACCACUUCCGACAUGGUCUUAUCCAGCUGUUUUACACAGCAAACAGGACAAGACCAUUCGCCACAAGCACAAAGAGUCUCAGCUUCCCAAGCCCACCAUACCAAACACCAUUGCCAGUGUACUGAAGCCUGAUAGAGCACAGUGUGACUCAACAUAAGACCAUGUAGAACCAACAUAAAAUAAAUAUGGAUCUUUUCUAUCAAUCUUCUACAUUUGUCUGACGUUAUCGAUUCACAGAAUAUAUUUAUAUAACCUGCACAGGGGGUCUGUAGCAUCAAAUAGAUGUUAGACAUUUAGAUAAAUCCAAAUAUUUAUUUGUCAAAUUCAGUUCCGUGUCUCUUAGGUAUAGUAAAGUGCAGAGAACUGUUGAUCGGCAGAUGAUGAAAGAGGUGGUCAUGAUGAAAUUGCCAAUCACAAAGAAACAUACA
This 1557-nucleotide long non-coding RNA is filed under the name Salmo trutta (river trout). RNAcentral's name for it is "lncRNA (ENSSTUG00000031181.1)". The record is from RNAcentral. Lineage: Eukaryota; Metazoa; Chordata; Actinopteri; Salmoniformes; Salmonidae.